RNAcentral lists this ribosomal RNA (301 nucleotides) under uncultured bacterium. RNAcentral's name for it is "partial 16S ribosomal RNA". It matches the Rfam family "Bacterial small subunit ribosomal RNA", at positions 509 to 807 of the family's 1533-position model. The record is from RNAcentral.
CAGUAGCCGCGGGAAUACGAAGGGGGCUAGCGUUGUUCGGAAUUACUGGGCGUAAAGCGCACGUAGGCGGAUAUUUAAGUCAGGGGUGAAAUCCCAGAGCUCAACUCUGGAACUGCCUUUGAUACUGGGUAUCUUGAGUAUGGAAGAGGUGAGUGGAAUUCCGAGUGUAGAGGUGAAAUUCGUAGAUAUUCGGAGGAACACCAGUGGCGAAGGCGGCUCACUGGUCCAUUACUGACGCUGAGGUGCGAAAGCGUGGGGAGCAAACAGGAUUAGAUACCCCAGUAGUCCCUGUCUCUUAUAC